GCACCGGUGGUUCAGUGGUAUUAGAAAGCUCCCCUACCACGCGAGUUGCUCGGGUUCUAUUACCAGCCGAUUGGCGCA
Molecule: non-coding RNA, 78 nt
Organism: Ostertagia ostertagi
Lineage: Eukaryota; Metazoa; Nematoda; Chromadorea; Rhabditida; Trichostrongylidae
Source: the annotation of a GenBank genome assembly